GAUGAACGCUGGCGGCGUGCCUAAUACAUGCAAGUCGAGCGAACGGACGAGAAGCUUGCUUCUCUGAUGUUAGCGGCGGACGGGUGAGUAACACGUGGAUAACCUACCUAUAAGACUGGGAUAACUUCGGGAAACCGGAGCUAAUACCGGAUAAUAUUUUGAACCGCAUGGUUCAAAAGUGAAAGACGGUCUUGCUGUCACUUAUAGAUGGAUCCGCGCUGCAUUAGCUAGUUGGUAAGGUAACGGCUUACCAAGGCAACGAUGCAUAGCCGACCUGAGAGGGGGAUCGGCCACACUGGACCUGGGACCCGGUCCAGACUCCUACGGGAGGCAGCAGUAGGGAAUCUUCCGCAAUGGGCGAAAGCCUGACGGGGCAACGCCGCGUGAGUGAUGAAGGUCUUCGGAUCGUAAAACUCUGUUAUUAGGGAAGAACAUAUGUGUAAGAAACUGUGCACAUCUUGACGGUACCUAAUCAGAAAGCCACGGCUAACUACGUG
Molecule: ribosomal RNA, 497 nt
Filed under: uncultured bacterium
Lineage: Bacteria
Description: partial 16S ribosomal RNA
Rfam family: Bacterial small subunit ribosomal RNA
Source: RNAcentral